UCUGAAAUGGCAGAAUUUUAUGCGUUAAAUUUAGGAUUUAAUUAUGAUUAUCUUUCAGGG
RNAcentral lists this transfer RNA (60 nucleotides) under Linguatula arctica. RNAcentral describes it as "tRNA-Leu". Lineage: Eukaryota; Metazoa; Arthropoda; Ichthyostraca; Porocephalida; Linguatulidae. The record is from RNAcentral.